AACGUAGGACGCAAGCGUUAUCCGGAAUUACUGGGCGUAAAGAGCGCGUAGGCGGGUCAACAAGUCAUGCGUGAAAGCUCCCGGCUAAACUGGGAGAGGUCGGAUGAUACUGUUGGUCUUGAGUGUGGCAGAGGCGUGUGGAAUUCCGCGUGUAGUGGUGAAAUGCGUAGAUAUGCGGAGGAACACCAGUGGCGAAGGCGGCACGCUGGGCCACAACUGACGCUGAGGCGCGAAAGCAUGGGUAG
This 245-nucleotide ribosomal RNA is filed under the name uncultured bacterium. RNAcentral's name for it is "partial 16S ribosomal RNA". It matches the Rfam family "Bacterial small subunit ribosomal RNA", at positions 524 to 768 of the family's 1533-position model. The record is from RNAcentral.